CCUACGGGAGGCAGCAGUGAGGAAUAUUGGUCAAUGGACGAGAGUCUGAACCAGCCAAGUAGCGUGAAGGAUGACUGCCCUAUGGGUUGUAAACUUCUUUUAUAUGGGAAUAAAAUGUUCCACGUGUGGGAUUUUGUAUGUACCAUAUGAAUAAGGAUCGGCUAACUCCGUGCCAGCAGCCGCGGUAAUACGGAGGAUCCGAGCGUUAUCCGGAUUUAUUGGGUUUAAAGGGAGCGUAGGUGGAUUGUUAAGUUAGUUGUGAAAGUUUGCGGCUCAACCGUGAAAUUGCAGUUGAUACUGGCAGUCUUGAGUACAGUAGAGGUGGGCGGAAUGCGUGGUGUAGCGGUGAAAUGCUUAGAUAUCACGAAGAACUCCGAUUGCGAAGGCAGCUCACUGGACUGCAACUGACACUGAGGCUCGAAAGUGUGGGGAUCAAACAGGAUUAGAUACCCCAGUAGUC
Molecule: ribosomal RNA, 460 nt
Filed under: uncultured bacterium
Lineage: Bacteria
Description: partial 16S ribosomal RNA
Rfam family: Bacterial small subunit ribosomal RNA
Source: RNAcentral